RNAcentral lists this ribosomal RNA (449 nucleotides) under uncultured bacterium. RNAcentral's name for it is "partial 16S ribosomal RNA". It matches the Rfam family "Bacterial small subunit ribosomal RNA", at positions 331 to 793 of the family's 1533-position model. The record is from RNAcentral.
CCAGACUCCUACGGGAGGCAGCAGUGGGGGAUAUUGCACAAUGGGGGGAAACCCUGAUGCAGCGACGCCGCGUGGGCGAAGAAGUAUUUCGGUAUGUAAAGCUCUAUCAGCAGGGAAGAAAGAAAUGACGGUACCUGACUAAGAAGCCCCGGCUAACUACGUGCCAGCAGCCGCGGUAAUACGUAGGGGGCAAGCGUUAUCCGGAUUUACUGGGUGUAAAGGGAGCGUAGACGGCGAUGCAAGUCUGAAGUGAAAGGCGGGGGCCCAACCCCCGGACUGCUUUGGAAACUGUAUAGCUGGAGUGCAGGAGAGGUAAGUGGAAUUCCUAGUGUAGCGGUGAAAUGCGUAGAUAUUAGGAGGAGCACCAGUGGCGAAGGCGGCCUGCUGGACGAUGACUGACGCUGAGGCUCGAAAGCGUGGGGAGCAAACAGGAUUAGAUACCCGAGUAU